Molecule: ribosomal RNA, 1652 nt
Filed under: Trigonopoma sp. LR12861
Lineage: Eukaryota; Metazoa; Chordata; Actinopteri; Cypriniformes; Danionidae
Description: 16S ribosomal RNA
Rfam family: Bacterial large subunit ribosomal RNA (bases 96-1562)
Source: RNAcentral
GCCAAACAACUAGCUUUAUAAUCAAGAUAACUCUACACUAUAAAUAAACAAAGAUUUAACCAAAUCAAUCCACCAAAACAUUUUCAACCUUAGUAUGGGAGACAGAAAAGGCCACACAAAGCAAUAGAAAAAGUACCGCAAGGGAAAGUUGAAAGAGAAAUGAAACAACCCAUAUAAGCCACAAAAAUCAAAGACUAAAUCUUGUACCUUUUGCAUCAUGAUUUAGCCAGUCAACCCAAGCAAAGAGACCUUUAGUUUGAAACCCCGAAACCAAGUGAGCUACCCCAAGACAGCCUAUAUUAAUUUAGGGCCAACCCAUCUCUGUGGCAAAAGAGUGGGAAGAGCUUUGGGUAGAGGUGACAGACCUAUCGAACUUGGUGAUAGCUGGUUGUCUGGGAGAUGAAUAUAAGUUCAGCCUCGUACGCCCUAGACCAAAACUACAAAUAAGACACAAAGGAAAAAUACGAGAGUUAGUUUAAGGAGGUACAGCCCCUUAAACAAAGGAUACAACCUUAACAGAAGAAUAAAGAUCAUAAUACCCAAAACACAUUGUCCCAGUGGGCCUAAAAGCAGCCACCAAAACAGAAAGCGUUAAAGCUCAAACAAACAAAAGUUUAUUAUACCAAUAAAUAAUCUUAAUUCCCCUAAAAUACCAGACCAUUCCAUGCACCCAUGGAAGAAAUUAUGCUAAAAUGAGUAACAAGAAGAACUCAACCUUCUCCACGCACAAGUGUAAGUCAGAUCGGACCCACCACUGACAAUUAACGAACCCAAACAAAGAGGGCACUAUGAACAACACAAUUAUCAAGAAAACCCCAUAACAUAUGAUCGUUAUCCUCACACCAGAGUGCAUAAUAGGAAAGACUAAAAGAAUUAAGGAAGGAACUCGGCAAACCCAAGCCUCGCCUGUUUACCAAAAACAUCGCCUCCUGCAAAUUUAAGUAUAGGAGGUCCAGCCUGCCCGGUGACCACAAGUUUAACGGCCGCGGUAUUUUAACCGUGCAAAGGUAGCGCAAUCACUUGUCCUUUAAAUAGGGACCCGUAUGAAUGGUUAGACGAGGGCUUAGCUGUCUCCCUUUUCCAGUCAGUGAAAUUGAUCUAUCCGUGCAGAAGCGGGUAUAAUUAUACAAGACGAGAAGACCCUUUGGAGCUUAAGGUACAAGAAUCACCCAUGUAAAACAAGAUUUUAUAAACUCCAAACCCCAAUGGAAAAUGAGACCAUACCUUCGGUUGGGGCGACCACGGAGUAAAAAUCAACCUCCAAGUGAAGUGGAUAGUAUCCAGAACCAAGAAGCACAAAUCUAAGUAACAGAACAUCUGACCAAACACGAUCCGGCCACAAGACCGAUCAACGAACCAAGUUACCCAAGGGAUAACAGCGCAAUCCCCUUUAAGAGUCCAUAUCGACGAGGGGGUUUACGACCUCGAUGUUGGAUCAGGACAUCCUAAUGGUGCAGCCGCUAUUAAGGGUUCGUUUGUUCAACGAUUAAAGUCCUACGUGAUCUGAGUUCAGACCGGAGUAAUCCAGGUCAGUUUCUAUCUGUAACGCUAAUUUUCCUAGUACGAAAGGACCGGAAAAGGGGGGCUAACCCUAUAAGUACGCCUCACCCUAAAUUAAUGAACCAAAAUAAAUUAAAUCAAGGGGAACAUAA